This 73-nucleotide transfer RNA is filed under the name Corynebacterium kutscheri. RNAcentral describes it as "tRNA-Arg". It matches the Rfam family "tRNA". Rfam says of the family: Transfer RNA (tRNA) molecules are approximately 80 nucleotides in length. Their secondary structure includes four short double-helical elements and three loops (D, anti-codon, and T loops). The record is from RNAcentral. Lineage: Bacteria; Bacillati; Actinomycetota; Actinomycetes; Mycobacteriales; Corynebacteriaceae.
CUGCUGGUAGGGCGGGUAAACCUUUUGACUACGGAUCAGAAGGUUGGGGGUUCGAAUCCCUCCGGGCGCACCA